Molecule: ribosomal RNA, 468 nt
Filed under: uncultured bacterium
Lineage: Bacteria
Description: partial 16S ribosomal RNA
Rfam family: Bacterial small subunit ribosomal RNA
Source: RNAcentral
GACGAACGCUGGCGGCGUGCUUAACACAUGCAAGUCGAACGGAAAGGCCCUGCUUUUGUGGGGUGCUCGAGUGGCGAACGGGUGAGUAACACGUGAGUAACCUGCCCUUGACUUUGGGAUAACUUCAGGAAACUGGGGCUAAUACCGGAUAGGAGCUCCUGCUGCAUGGUGGGGGUUGGAAAGUUUCGGCGGUUGGGGAUGGACUCGCGGCUUAUCAGCUUGUUGGUGGGGUAGUGGCUUACCAAGGCUUUGACGGGUAGCCGGCCUGAGAGGGUGACCGGCCACAGUGGGACUGAGAUCAGGACCAGACUCCUACGGGAGGCAGCAGUGGGGAAUAUUGCACAAUGGGCGGAAGCCUGAUGCAGCAACGCCGCGUGCGGGAUGACGGCCUUCGGGUUGUAAACCGCUUUCGCCUGUGACGAAGCGUGAGUGACGGUAAUGGGUAAAGAAGCACCGGCUAACUACGUG